UACGUAGGGGGCAAGCGUUAUCCGGAUUUACUGGGUGUAAAGGGAGCGUAGACGGCCAGACAAGUCUGAAGUGAAAAUCCAGCGCUUAACGUUGGAAGUGCUUUGGAAACUGCCGGGCUAGAGUGCAGGAGGGGCAGGCGGAAUUCCUAGUGUAGCGGUGAAAUGCGUAGAUAUUAGGAGGAACACCAGUGGCGAAGGCGGCCUGCUGGACCGUGACUGACGUUGAGGCUCGAAAGCGUGGGGAGCAAACAGG
Molecule: ribosomal RNA, 253 nt
Filed under: uncultured bacterium
Lineage: Bacteria
Description: partial 16S ribosomal RNA
Rfam family: Bacterial small subunit ribosomal RNA
Source: RNAcentral